GGCCUCUCUCUGUGGAGCCAUCCAUCAUGAGGCUCCAUGAUGGAUGACUCUGCAGAGGGAGGCC
This 64-nucleotide microRNA precursor is filed under the name Myotis davidii. RNAcentral describes it as "mir-9242 microRNA precursor family". It matches the Rfam family "mir-9242 microRNA precursor family". The record is from Rfam by way of RNAcentral. Lineage: Eukaryota; Metazoa; Chordata; Mammalia; Chiroptera; Vespertilionidae.